Molecule: ribosomal RNA, 440 nt
Filed under: uncultured bacterium
Lineage: Bacteria
Description: partial 16S ribosomal RNA
Rfam family: Bacterial small subunit ribosomal RNA
Source: RNAcentral
CCUACGGGUGGCAGCAGUGGGGGAUAUUGCACAAUGGGGGAAACCCUGAUGCAGCGACGCCGCGUGAGUGAAGAAGUUUUUCGGUAUGUAAAGCUCUAUCUGCAGGGAAGCAAAUUACAGUACCUGACCAAGACGCCCCGGCUAAUUACGUGCCAGCAGCCGCGGCAAUACGUAGGGGGCAAGCGUUAUCCGGAUUUACUGGGUGUAAAGGGAGCGUAGGCGGUUAUGUAAGUCUGGAGUGAAACCCCGGGGGCCAACCCCGGGACCGCUGUGGAAACCGUGUAACUGGAGUGGAGGAGGGGCAGGCGGAAUGCGUGGUGUAGCGGUGAAAUGCGUAGAUAUCAGGAAGAACACCGGCGGCGAAGGCGGCCUGCUGGACGGGAUCUGACGUUGAGGCUCGAAAGCGUGGGGAGCGAACAGGAUUAGAUACCCCUGUAGUC